RNAcentral lists this ribosomal RNA (1431 nucleotides) under Pediococcus acidilactici. Its description in RNAcentral is "bacterial SSU rRNA". It matches the Rfam family "Bacterial small subunit ribosomal RNA". The record is from RNAcentral. Lineage: Bacteria; Bacillati; Bacillota; Bacilli; Lactobacillales; Lactobacillaceae.
UCGAACGACUUCCGUUAAUUGAUUAUGACGUGCUUGCACUGAAUGAGAUUUUAACACGAAGUGAGUGGCGGACGGGUGAGUAACACGUGGGUAACCUGCCCAGAAGCAGGGGAUAACACCUGGAAACAGAUGCUAAUACCGUAUAACAGAGAAAACCGCCUGGUUUUCUUUUAAAAGAUGGCUCUGCUAUCACUUCUGGAUGGACCCGCGGCGCAUUAGCUAGUUGGUGAGGUAACGGCUCACCAAGGCGAUGAUGCGUAGCCGACCUGAGAGGGUAAUCGGCCACAUUGGGACUGAGACACGGCCCAGACUCCUACGGGAGGCAGCAGUAGGGAAUCUUCCACAAUGGACGCAAGUCUGAUGGAGCAACGCCGCGUGAGUGAAGAAGGGUUUCGGCUCGUAAAGCUCUGUUGUUAAAGAAGAACGUGGGUGAGAGUAACUGUUCACCCAGUGACGGUAUUUAACCAGAAAGCCACGGCUAACUACGUGCCAGCAGCCGCGGUAAUACGUAGGUGGCAAGCGUUAUCCGGAUUUAUUGGGCGUAAAGCGAGCGCAGGCGGUCUUUUAAGUCUAAUGUGAAAGCCUUCGGCUCAACCGAAGAAGUGCAUUGGAAACUGGGAGACUUGAGUGCAGAAGAGGACAGUGGAACUCCAUGUGUAGCGGUGAAAUGCGUAGAUAUAUGGAAGAACACCAGUGGCGAAGGCGGCUGUCUGGUCUGUAACUGACGCUGAGGCUCGAAAGCAUGGGUAGCGAACAGGAUUAGAUACCCUGGUAGUCCAUGCCGUAAACGAUGAUUACUAAGUGUUGGAGGGUUUCCGCCCUUCAGUGCUGCAGCUAACGCAUUAAGUAAUCCGCCUGGGGAGUACGACCGCAAGGUUGAAACUCAAAAGAAUUGACGGGGGCCCGCACAAGCGGUGGAGCAUGUGGUUUAAUUCGAAGCUACGCGAAGAACCUUACCAGGUCUUGACAUCUUCUGCCAACCUAAGAGAUUAGGCGUUCCCUUCGGGGACAGAAUGACAGGUGGUGCAUGGUUGUCGUCAGCUCGUGUCGUGAGAUGUUGGGUUAAGUCCCGCAACGAGCGCAACCCUUAUUACUAGUUGCCAGCAUUCAGUUGGGCACUCUAGUGAGACUGCCGGUGACAAACCGGAGGAAGGUGGGGACGACGUCAAAUCAUCAUGCCCCUUAUGACCUGGGCUACACACGUGCUACAAUGGAUGGUACAACGAGUCGCGAAACCGCGAGGUUUAGCUAAUCUCUUAAAACCAUUCUCAGUUCGGACUGUAGGCUGCAACUCGCCUACACGAAGUCGGAAUCGCUAGUAAUCGCGGAUCAGCAUGCCGCGGUGAAUACGUUCCCGGGCCUUGUACACACCGCCCGUCACACCAUGAGAGUUUGUAACACCCAAAGCCGGUGGGGUAACCUUUUAGGAGC